AAUAAGCCUUUCCAAAUUCAAAGGGUGAUUUUGGGAAGAGCGCGGACACUCAUCAAGUGCCGCUAUAUUGAUAUUUGGCACAAGUGGAACAUGAGUUGAAAACAUGCUUAUGUGAAAGUGAUAACAUAUAGUCAAGUAAUUCACAUGGUGAAAGCAUAUAAAGGCAGUAUUAAAUAAUACGAUAAAAUAAGCAAAAGAGAAAGGGGAAAAAAUACAAAGGAAAUAGGUUAGCAUUGUUCACAAAAAAUUCAAAACAUAAUUAAAUGAAGCGAAUAAAGGAGACAGGGAAGGGAGGUUCAUGAUAUAGAAACUUUGAGCAAAUAACGGAACGGGAAAGGGAGGUACCUAGAAACGGUCAUGUAAAGCAACUUAAUGAAUUAGAAAUCCCACAUAAGCUGAAUCUGCUAUGGUAAGAACCUAAAUAUCCCCAGCAGAGUUGCCAUGCUGUCGCACCCCAUUUUUCUCAUGAAGACGGGUUUAGACAUGUGACAACUCUUUUAAAAUGGUAUAAAAAGAGAAGAGUCGCCACCUAACGAUUGUAAGGUGCGUUAUGGUACCUAUUUGCAAAUAACUAUGUUUGACUAGUCAAGUUUGCAGGUACAAGAUGCAAAAUAUCACAACAAGUUCUUAUUAUCAAACUGGGGCAAUUUUCGCAUCCAAUAUCUCUCUAUUUUUGAUUUCUACUCAAUUCCAACGUCAUCGCCACUUGAGACCGGAAUAAUUUCUAGAAUUAACAUCUCCUUGAAGUAGUAAGUGCGGCUUUAUUCUCUUUAUAAUAUUAGUUUUCACUACCUACUUUUCUCUCCUCAAUUUUCGCAACAAUCUCUACCUUACUCAGAAUCACAUUACUUCCCAAUCCUAUUUUUCCUCAUACACCCUUCUAUUUUUUUCGAUCACAAUAUCCAAUAUGAUCAUAAUUCAAUACUGGUAAAUUUUUUUAGGGUAUUCAUGUCCUUCCCUAAUCUAGAACUACACACGACCUGAUUCUCGUAAAGCCCAGGAUAUGUAGGCAACUCAAAAACUGGUGUUCGGCCACAAUAUUUUUCAGGACUCUUAUUCCCAUUUAUUCUUACACAACUAUAUCACCAGUCGGACAAAAUUGGCUACUACCUCAAUUUCUUUGCCCAAAAAAUUCUUUCAUCGUUCUCGGGCAAAGAGGGGCAACUGUUGAAACCCAAUUUUGUCCCUCCUCCUAUUGAAUUUAUUCCUUUGAGCUUCUAUUUUUUGUAAAUGUUAAAGAUUCUAAUUUUUUACUUAUUUUAUCAAAAUACAAUGUUUAUAUUGCUAUCAUUUAUUAUUAAUAUUAUUGUUAUUAUUAUUAUUAUUAUUAUUAUUAUUGAUUACUAUAAUUAUUAUGUUUUUUAGUUAAAAUAGUAGCCCAAAUACUCCCCUAUUUAUCUAGCCCAACAUGUGCUCUCUGUCCAAAUGGAGCCCACUUCACCCAGCAAUAUCCUAAGCCCAACCACUUUAAACCAAAUCUCAACGAGACUAACCCCAAACCAAUUCUCCGAUCUUAUACCUUCCUCGCCAGCAACAAACAUCCAUUUUUCCCUUCUUUAGCCCAUUAUCAUAUUUAUUCUCUUGCUUUCCUUCCUUUUUUUAUUUAGUUAUUUCCUUAAUUAUUUUACUACUUUAUUACCAAAUGUCAUAGCAUAGUUUCUUCACAAAUCACUCAAAAUCAAAAAUUAUAGCUCUUCCUAUAAAGAAAGAAUUUUGGUGGAAGAUUUGGGUACGAAUUUAAUUGAAGAAUUUGUCCAAGUUCAUAGGAGUCCCCAAAAAGUCUUGUUGAUGUUGCUGGAUAACACCUUGUGAAUUUAGACUACUUUUGGGUAAGCGAUUUAACUAUUGCUCAUAUAAAAUUACAUAUGUUAUUUUAUCAAUAGUUAUUUGUUAUUUUAAAAACUUUUGUACUUACGGGUUUUUAAAGAUUGAAGCUACAAGUCAAGAUGCAAGUUUAGAAGAUGCACAAGCUAUUAUUAUUUUACUAAAAAUGUUAUGCAAAACUUGAUAUCAUAGUCUAGCUCACGAUGUUAGCUAAGUUUUUUUUGUUGAGGUGUUGAGAAAACAUAGAAAGUAACAUCAUCAUGGGAUUUGAACUUGAUAUAUUAUCUUUUUAUAUCUGGAUUUUUCAAUA
Nicotiana tabacum (common tobacco) is the source of this 2134-nucleotide non-coding RNA. NCBI's taxonomy places the organism in Eukaryota, Viridiplantae, Streptophyta, Magnoliopsida, Solanales, Solanaceae. The record is from RefSeq and is a predicted model, not a curated record.